This 565-nucleotide ribosomal RNA is filed under the name uncultured archaeon. RNAcentral describes it as "bacterial SSU rRNA". It matches the Rfam family "Archaeal small subunit ribosomal RNA", at positions 312 to 879 of the family's 1478-position model. The record is from RNAcentral.
GCGAAUUCGCCCUUCGGGGUGCAGCAGGCGCGAAAACUCCACAAUGUUCGGAAGUACGAUGGGGUUAUCUCGAGUGCAGUCCGAUAAGGGCUGCUUUUCCAUAGAGUAAUAUCCUGUGGGAAUAAGAGGGGGGCAAGACUGGUGUCAGCCGCCGCGGUAACACCAGCCCCUCGAGUGGUGGGGACUAUUAUUUGGUCUAAAGCGUCCGUAGCUGGCUGUAUCCGUCCCCCGUUAAAUCCAGCGUCCUAAGCGUUGGACUGCGGGUGAUACCAUACAGCUAGAGGGUGGGAUAGGUGAGCGGUAUUUCUGGGGUAGGGGCGAAAUCCUUUGAUCCCAGGAGGACCACCAGUGGCGAAGGCUGCUCACUAGAACACGCCUGACGGUCAGGGACGAAAGCUGGGGCAGCGAACCGGAUUAGAUACCCGGGUAGUCCCAGCUGUAAACGAUGCUAGCUAGGUGUUGGGUCGGCCACGCGCCGCCCCAGUGCCGCAGGGAAGCCGUUAAGCUAGCCACCUGGGGAGUACGGCCGCAAGGCUGAAACUUAAAGGAAUUGGCGGGGGAGCAC